GGCGCAAGCCUGAUGGAGCAACACCGCUUGAGUGAAGAAGGGUUUCGGCUCGUAAAGCUCUGUUGUUGGAGAAGAACGUGCGUGAGAGUAACUGUUCACGCAGUGACGGUAUCCAACCAGAAAGUCACGGCUAACUACGUGCCAGCAGCCGCGGUAAUACGUAGGUGGCAAGCGUUAUCCGGAUUUAUUGGGCGUAAAGCGAGCGCAGGCGGUUGCUUAGGUCUGAUGUGAAAGCCUUCGGCUUAACCGAAGAAGUGCAUCGGAAACCGGGCGACUUGAGUGCAGAAGAGGACAGUGGAACUCCAUGUGUAGCGGUGGAAUGCGUAGAUAUAUGGAAGAACACCAGUGGCGAAGGCGGCUGUCUGGUCUGCAACUGACGCUGAGGCUCGAAAGCAUGGGUAGCGAACAGGAUUAGAUACCCUGGUAGUCCAUGCCGUAAACGAUGAGUGCUAGGUGUUGGAGGGUUUCCGCCCUUCAGUGCCGGAGCUAACGCAUUAAGCACUCCGCCUGGGGAGUACGACCGCAAGGUUGAAACUCAAAGGAAUUGACGGGGGCCCGCACAAGCGGUGGAGCAUGUGGUUUAAUUCGAAGCUACGCGAAGAACCUUACCAGGUCUUGACAUCUUGCGCUAACCUUAGAGAUAAGGCGUUCCCUUCGGGGACGCAAUGACAGGUGGUGCAUGGUCGUCGUCAGCUCGUGUCGUGAGAUGUUGGGUUAAGUCCCGCAACGAGCGCAACCCUUGUUACUAGUUGCCAGCAUUAAGUUGGGCACUCUAGUGAGACUGCCGGUGACAAACCGGAGGAAGGUGGGGACGACGUCAGAUCAUCAUGCCCCUUAUGACCUGGGCUACACACGUGCUACAAUGGACGGUACAACGAGU
Molecule: ribosomal RNA, 880 nt
Filed under: Limosilactobacillus reuteri
Lineage: Bacteria; Bacillati; Bacillota; Bacilli; Lactobacillales; Lactobacillaceae
Description: bacterial SSU rRNA
Rfam family: Bacterial small subunit ribosomal RNA
Source: RNAcentral